Molecule: ribosomal RNA, 490 nt
Filed under: uncultured bacterium
Lineage: Bacteria
Description: partial 16S ribosomal RNA
Rfam family: Bacterial small subunit ribosomal RNA
Source: RNAcentral
AUUGAACGCUGGCGGCAGGCCUAACACAUGCAAGUCGAACGGUAACAGGAAACAGCUUGCUGUUUCGCUGACGAGUGGCGGACGGGUGAGUAAUGUCUGGGAAACUGCCUGAUGGAGGGGGAUAACUACUGGAAACGGUAGCUAAUACCGCAUAACGUCGCAAGACCAAAGAGGGGGACCUUCGGGCCUCUUGCCCUCGGAUGUGCCCAGAUGGGAUUAGCUAGUAGGUGGGGUAACGGCUCACCUAGGCGACGAUCCCUAGCUGGUCUGAGAGGAUGACCAGCCACACUGGAACUGAGACACGGUCCAGACUCCUACGGGAGGCAGCAGUGGGGAAUAUUGCACAAUGGGCGCAAGCCUGAUGCAGCCAUGCCGCGUGUAUGAAGAAGGCCUUCGGGUUGUAAAGUACUUUCAGCGGGGAGGAAGGGAGUAAAGUUAAUACCUUUGCUCAUUGACGUUACCCGAAGAAGAAGCACCGGCUAACUCCGUG